AUUAACUUUCGUUCUUCCGCAAUGACCUAACCGUCAUGGGGACAA
Molecule: small nucleolar RNA, 45 nt
Filed under: Schizosaccharomyces osmophilus
Lineage: Eukaryota; Fungi; Ascomycota; Schizosaccharomycetes; Schizosaccharomycetales; Schizosaccharomycetaceae
Description: small nucleolar RNA snR54 (predicted)
Source: RNAcentral